Molecule: unclassified non-coding RNA, 1029 nt
Filed under: Hevea brasiliensis (rubber tree)
Lineage: Eukaryota; Viridiplantae; Streptophyta; Magnoliopsida; Malpighiales; Euphorbiaceae
Source: RNAcentral
AAGGCAUCUACACCCCUAUAUAUACUUCGUGUAUGUAUAUACAACAAGCAAAUCAAUACUUUGGCAAUUUUGAGAUUUUUUUUCUUAAUUCAUACAAAAUAAAAUGGCUAAUGAUGAGGUGAUUCUGUUGGAUUUUUGGCCUAGCAUGUAUGGUAUGAGGCUAAGGAUUGCACUUGCUGAGAAAGAGAUUAAAUAUGAGUACAGAGACGAGGAUUUGAGGAACAAAAGUCCUCUGCUUUUGCAGAUGAAUCCUAUUCACAAGAAAAUCCCUGUUUUGAUUCAUAAUGGCAAACCAAUUUGUGAGUCUAUCAUUGGAGUUGAGUAUAUUGAUGAAGUGUGGAAGGAUAAAGCCCCUUUGCUCCCUUCUGAUCCUUAUGAGAGAGCACAAGCUAGGUUUUGGGCUGAUUACAUUGACAAGAAGUUAUAUGCUACAGGAAGCAAGAUUUAUACAGCAACGGGAGACGAACAAGAGGCAGGUAAGAAAGAUUUCGUAGAAAUCCUUAAAGUGUUGGAGGGAGCACUUGGAGAGAAGCCUUAUUAUGGAGGAGAUAACUUUGGUUUUGGGGAUAUUGCUCUCAUUGGGUUCUACUGCUGGUUUCAUGCUUAUGAGGUUUAUGGUAACUUCAGCAUUGAGGCUGAGUGCCCAAACCUUGUGGCUUGGGCCAAGAGGUGCAUGCAAAGGGACAGUGUGGCUAAAACUUUGCCUGACCAACAUAAGAUCAUUGAGUUUGUAAAAAUUCUUAGGGAAAAGCUUGGACUUGAAUAAAUAAACAUAUGCAUAUCAUAGUAGUAUUGAAGAAAGGCACUUCAUUCUGCCUUUAUCUUGUGUUGUUUCAAGAUUUGAAAUGUUUGUUUGGUUAUAGUGUAAGUUCUAUUUCUAAUAGUAAUAAAGGAAAAGCUUGGACUUGAAUAAAUAAACAUAUGCAUAUCAUAGUAGUAUUGAAGAAAGGCACUUCAUUCUGCCUUUAUCUUGUGUUGUUUCAAGAUUUGAAAUGUUUGUUUGGUUAUAGUGUAAGUUCUAUUUCUAAU